Molecule: ribosomal RNA, 305 nt
Filed under: uncultured bacterium
Lineage: Bacteria
Description: bacterial SSU rRNA
Rfam family: Bacterial small subunit ribosomal RNA
Source: RNAcentral
UUACUCCUACGGGGGGCAGCAGUGAGGAAUAUUGGUCAAUGGGCGAGAGCCUGAACCAGCCACGUCGCGUGAGGGAAGACGGCCCUACGGGUUGUAAACCUCUUUUGUCAGGGAGCAAGAACGGAUACGUGUAUCCGAGCGAGAGUACCUGAAGAAAAAGCAUCGGCUAACUCCGUGCCAGCAGCCGCGGUAAUACGGAGGAUGCGAGCGUUAUCCGGAUUUAUUGGGUUUAAAGGGUGCGUAGGCAGGCUGCUAAGUCAGCGGUAAAAUUGCGGGGCUCAAUCCCGUCGAGCCGGUCAAACUAG